CCUGGCAAAACGGUAGAAUAUUGUCAAACUUGUUAUAUCUGUACAGUUGUUAGUGCAUCAAGUGAAACAGCGCCUCAAGGAACAGUUGCCCAGAGUUGUCUUAAAGUUGAUCUACAUCCUGAUUUUCUGCUGUUCCAUCAGUCACUAUGCAGUGUGUUUGGACAACCUAAGCAUUCUUGAAUCAGACUGCUUCAGUUUAUAUCGAAGAUGUAUUGCUUGUCAUGCCCGGUGACCAACUUCACAGGACUAUGUUCAAAUUUAGAUUACAUGCCUAGUAUGAAAGACAUCAAGUAUAUUACCGAAAUUGGCUAUCUCAAUUCGCGACUUCCGAACUCAUCCUCAGUCUGUCAUUCUGAUGCAGAGGUCCUGAAAGAAGUUGGAACGUUUUGAACCGUCUCAGCCAAUAAGUAUUAGAAAAUAGGUAGUCGCUUAAUGAUUAGUUUCUUCGCUGCCCGUACAAGUUUCUUCCCUUACCAUCCAAGCAAGCACUAUGUCUGUCAAACCAUUAGCUGAGUACAGUUAAUACCAUUAGUUCACCAAAACAAGAGGUUAAGAAUAAUACUGAAUCAAAAGAGGUAUCUAGUCGAACCAAAUUUCAUAAUGAUAACGGUUGGAAGCCCGAAGGAAUUCUUGAAAAAUGCUUCCUGUCCAUUACCUUCAGUCGUUGCUGCUGCCCGAAAACAAAGUAUUAAAAGUUAUAUAAAUUGAAGUGCAUAUCUGGGCUCCCUUCUUUUCUGUGGCCCCGUUUCCCUUUGAUUUUUAAUAAGCCCGUAGGGGGUCAUGCCCCUACUGUGAUCAGCAGUAACGGUUGUGAGUGCGCUGUCUGGAAAGGGGACGUGGGGGUCCUCAUGGUCCGAUGAUAUCAUUGGAGGGCUGUGGGGCUACCCAAAAAUCCGAAUUAACAGUUAAUCGCUCACGUAAAAGCUUGUCCGCAACCUUCGCUCUUCUUCCGGCUUCUCUUAGCCACGCACCGGGUAAUCUCCCCGGUGAGUCAACUGAGGUAGUGUCUCCCCCUACCUUGGUUGACAGCAACUUUGAAAUCGGCUAUUUUGCCCUUUCAAAGUUGCAAGUCUUUAAAUUGUGCCGAAUAUUGUCAAUACAAAUUCUUAAAAAAAAAAA
Long non-coding RNA from Daphnia carinata, 1119 nucleotides. RefSeq lists it as uncharacterized. The record is from RefSeq and is a predicted model, not a curated record. The transcript is spliced from 5 exons. Lineage: Eukaryota; Metazoa; Arthropoda; Branchiopoda; Diplostraca; Daphniidae.